CUGGUUUUCUACAAGACUUAAGAGGUACAGAGACUGCACAGAAUCUCCCAGAAGACCUUAGUCAAUGCAGAAUUAAAUGGAAAAAUUCCACUUUUGUCAAAGGUGAAAAAUCUGGCUUUCCUUACAUGCAGAACCUCUAGAGACAUCAACAUGGUCUGUAUGAGCAACCUCAGCAAAAAAAAAAAAAAAGCCUCAUCUGAUAGACUGUCAGUCACAGAAAUAAUAAAGGAAAGAAAGAAGAGAGGAAGCUGUAUUUUAUUUUAAUAUAAUUACUCUUUUUGCUUUCCUAAUACGACAGUGUGAACAUACAUUGGGCUGUUUCUCAGUGACAAAACUGGCUACCAUGGCAAUAAAUGCUCUUUACUUACUUCUGGGUUUUAUAAGAUGUCGG
RNAcentral lists this long non-coding RNA (391 nucleotides) under Homo sapiens (human). RNAcentral's name for it is "HSALNT0193277". The record is from RNAcentral. Lineage: Eukaryota; Metazoa; Chordata; Mammalia; Primates; Hominidae.